GAUGAACGCUAGCGGCAGGCUUAACACAUGCAAGUCGAGGGGCAGCACGUCUUCGGAUGGUGGCGACCGGCGCACGGGUGAGUAACGCGUAUGCAAUCUACCUUUUACAGGGGCAUAGCCCGGGGAAACCCGGAUUAAUAUCCUAUAGUACCAUUAUAUAGCAUUAUAUUAUGGUUAAAGUUUCGGCGGUAAAAGAUGAGCAUGCGUCCUAUUAGCUUGAUGGUAAGGUAACGGCUUACCAUGGCUAUGAUGGGUAGGGGUCCUGAGAGGGAGACCCCCCACACUGGUACUGAGACACGGACCAGACUCCUACGGGAGGCAGCAGUGAGGAAUAUUGGACAAUGGGCGCAAGCCUGAUCCAGCCAUGCCGCGUGCAGGAAGACGGCCCUAUGGGUUGUAAACUGCUUUUAUACGGGAAGAAACACCCCUUCGUGAAGGGACUUGACGGUACCGUAUGAAUAAGGAUCGGCUAACUCCGUGCCAGCAGCCGCGGUAAUACGGAGGAU
Molecule: ribosomal RNA, 506 nt
Filed under: uncultured bacterium
Lineage: Bacteria
Description: bacterial SSU rRNA
Rfam family: Bacterial small subunit ribosomal RNA
Source: RNAcentral